UUAGCUUGCUAAGGCCGAUGGCGACCGGCGCACGGGUGAGUAACACGUAUCCAACCUGCCGUCUACUCUUGGACAGCCUUCUGAAAGGAAGAUUAAUACAAGAUGGCAUCAUGAGUUCACAUGUUCACAUGAUUAAAGGUAUUCCGGUAGACGAUGGGGAUGCGUCCCAUUAGCUAGUAGGCGGGGUAAAGGCCCACCUAGGCGACGAUGGGUAGCCGAGCUGAGAGGUUGAACGGCCACAUUGGAACUGAGACACGGUCCAAACUCC
RNAcentral lists this ribosomal RNA (268 nucleotides) under uncultured Bacteroides sp. RNAcentral describes it as "partial 16S ribosomal RNA". It matches the Rfam family "Bacterial small subunit ribosomal RNA", at positions 72 to 339 of the family's 1533-position model. Lineage: Bacteria; Pseudomonadati; Bacteroidota; Bacteroidia; Bacteroidales; Bacteroidaceae. The record is from RNAcentral.